CAGCAGCCGCGGUAAUACGGAGGGAGCUAGCGUUGUUCGGAAUUACUGGGCGUAAAGCGCACGUAGGCGGCUACUCAAGUCGGGGGUGAAAGCCCGGGGCUCAACCCCGGAACUGCCCUCGAAACUAGGUAGCUAGAAUCUUGGAGAGGUCAGUGGAAUUCCGAGUGUAGAGGUGAAAUUCGUAGAUAUUCGGAAGAACACCAGUGGCGAAGGCGACUGACUGGACAAGUAUUGACGCUGAGGUGCGAAAGCGUGGGGAGCAAACAGGAUUAGAUACCCCGGUAGUCCCUGUCUCUUAUAC
RNAcentral lists this ribosomal RNA (301 nucleotides) under uncultured bacterium. RNAcentral describes it as "partial 16S ribosomal RNA". It matches the Rfam family "Bacterial small subunit ribosomal RNA", at positions 509 to 807 of the family's 1533-position model. The record is from RNAcentral.